Molecule: ribosomal RNA, 252 nt
Filed under: uncultured bacterium
Lineage: Bacteria
Description: partial 16S ribosomal RNA
Rfam family: Bacterial small subunit ribosomal RNA
Source: RNAcentral
ACAGAGGUCUCAAGCGUUGUUCGGAAUCACUGGGCGUAAAGGGUGCGUAGGUGGCGUGGUAAGUCAGAUGUGAAAGCCCGGGGCUCAACCUCGGAAUUGCAUCCGAUACUGCCGUGCUAGAGUACUGAAGAGGUGACUAGAAUUCUCGGUGUAGCAGUGAAAUGCGUAGAUAUCGAGAGGAAUACCAACGGCGAAGGCAGGUCACUGGGCAGUUACUGACACUGAGGCACGAAGGCCAGGGGAGCAAACGGG